This 469-nucleotide ribosomal RNA is filed under the name uncultured bacterium. Its description in RNAcentral is "bacterial SSU rRNA". It matches the Rfam family "Bacterial small subunit ribosomal RNA", at positions 29 to 518 of the family's 1533-position model. The record is from RNAcentral.
ACGAACGCUGGCGGCGUGCUUCAUACAUGCAAGUCGAACGAGAAACUGACUUCGGUCAGUGGAAAGUGGCGGACGGGUGAGUAAAAUGUAGAGAAUCUGCCCUAGAGAGUGGGACAACAGAGGGAAACUUCUGCUAAUACCGCAUAUGCGCGUAGCUGAAAUGCUAUUCGUGAAAACUCCGGUGCUCUGGGAUGAGUCUGCAUCUGAUUAGCUAGUUGGCGGUGUAAUGGACCACCAAGGCGACGAUCAGUAGCUGGUUUGAGAGGAUGAUCAGCCACAAUGGGACUGAGACACGGCCCAUACUCCUACGGGAGGCAGCAGUAGGGAAUUUUGCGCAAUGGGGGAAACCCUGACGCAAGCAACGCCGCGUGAUUGAAGAAGCCCUUCGGGGUGUAAAGAUCUGUCAGUGGGGACGAAACUUGACGGUACCCACAGAGGAAGCAUCGGCUAACUCCGUGCCAGCCGCUGC